GGGCCUAUAGCUCAGCUGGUUAGAGCGCACGCCUGAUAAGCGUGAGGUCGAUGGUUCGAGUCCAUUUAGGCCC
This 73-nucleotide transfer RNA is filed under the name Enterococcus faecalis. RNAcentral's name for it is "tRNA-Ile". It matches the Rfam family "tRNA". From Rfam's summary of the family: Transfer RNA (tRNA) molecules are approximately 80 nucleotides in length. Their secondary structure includes four short double-helical elements and three loops (D, anti-codon, and T loops). Further hydrogen bonds mediate the characteristic L-shaped molecular structure. tRNAs have two regions of fundamental functional importance: the anti-codon, which is responsible for specific mRNA codon recognition, and the 3' end, to which the tRNAs corresponding amino acid is attached (by aminoacyl-tRNA synthetases). tRNAs cope with the degeneracy of the genetic code in two manners: having more than one tRNA (with a specific anti-codon) for a particular amino acid; and 'wobble' base-pairing, i.e. permitting non-standard base-pairing at the 3rd anti-codon position. Lineage: Bacteria; Bacillati; Bacillota; Bacilli; Lactobacillales; Enterococcaceae. The record is from RNAcentral. RNAcentral also lists the same sequence under 17 other names.